RNAcentral lists this transfer RNA (87 nucleotides) under Centipeda dianae. Its description in RNAcentral is "Selenomonas dianae tRNA-Leu". It matches the Rfam family "tRNA". From Rfam's summary of the family: Transfer RNA (tRNA) molecules are approximately 80 nucleotides in length. Their secondary structure includes four short double-helical elements and three loops (D, anti-codon, and T loops). Lineage: Bacteria; Bacillati; Bacillota; Negativicutes; Selenomonadales; Selenomonadaceae. RNAcentral also lists the same sequence under 3 other names. The record is from RNAcentral.
GCCGGGGUGGCGGAACAGGCAGACGCAGGGGACUUAAAAUCCCCCGAUCGUAAGAUCGUACCGGUUCGAUUCCGGUCCUCGGCACCA